CUAAUGAGAACGGUUCCGGGAAACAUACAAAACACCUGAAAACUCUGAAGUCGAGCCCAUCAGCAGUUGUUACUCCUUGUUUUACGUUGAUCUCGAGCUUCGAACACUAACAGUGAAUGUAAACACCUCCUCCAUCCACGAUAUACCGGCCUUUGGACAAAACGAAAGAUUGUGUAGCGUAACACUCGUGACAAGUGCAGACAAGGAAGUGCAGGUAGCAGUUCGUCGAUCGCUGCUGCCUUCGCCUUGCUUUAGUCACGGUGUCCAAGUUUUCGAAGGACCUCACCUGCGAACUUCAUGGUGCGAGAACUCUACGACCUCUUUCCGGUCAUUGGGGAGCAGCUUGGCGAUCUGGUACAACGCCAGCAGUGUUACCGAUGGUUCUUUCACUAUCGACUACCACGCAGUUUUAAGGCAAACGGCCGAUAUCCCACAUUGUGAUUUUAUUUCACAGAUCUACAACCAGACAAAUUAUUCACCUUCUUCUAAGGACGCAUGGUGGUUGUGCCGCACUGUUCUUUAUGCCACGACCUUUCCGAGGACCUUAACAGCAACCAAGAGGGAGUUCUUCACAGUGUAUCCAUAUUA
Haliotis rubra (blacklip abalone) is the source of this 588-nucleotide long non-coding RNA. RefSeq lists it as uncharacterized. The record is from RefSeq and is a predicted model, not a curated record. The transcript is spliced from 5 exons. Lineage: Eukaryota; Metazoa; Mollusca; Gastropoda; Lepetellida; Haliotidae.